UAGCUCGUGUCGUGAGAUGUUGGGUUAAGUCCCGCAACGAGCGCAACCCUUGUCUUUAGUUGCCAUCAUUAAGUUGGGCACUCUAAAGAGACUGCCGAUGACAAAUCGGAGGAAGGUGGGGAUGACGUCAAAUCAUCAUGCCCUUUAUGUCCUGGGCUACACACGUGCUACAAUGGUCGGUACAACGAGAAGCAAGCCAGCGAUGGCAAGCAAAUCUCUAAAAGCCGAUCCCAGUUCGGAUUGCAGGCUGCAACUCGCCUGCAUGAAGUCGGAGUUGCUAGUAAUCGCGGAUCAGAAUGCCGCGGUGAAUGCGUUCCCGGGUCUU
Molecule: ribosomal RNA, 325 nt
Filed under: uncultured Eubacteriales bacterium
Lineage: Bacteria; Bacillati; Bacillota; Clostridia; Eubacteriales
Description: bacterial SSU rRNA
Rfam family: Bacterial small subunit ribosomal RNA
Source: RNAcentral